RNAcentral lists this ribosomal RNA (501 nucleotides) under uncultured bacterium. Its description in RNAcentral is "partial 16S ribosomal RNA". It matches the Rfam family "Bacterial small subunit ribosomal RNA", at positions 30 to 523 of the family's 1533-position model. The record is from RNAcentral.
AUUGAACGCUGGCGGCAGGCUUAACACAUGCAAGUCGAGCGGAGAUGAGGUGCUUGCACCUUAUCUUAGCGGCGGACGGGUGAGUAAUGCUUAGGAAUCUGCCUAUUAGUGGGGGACAACAUUCCGAAAGGAAUGCUAAUACCGCAUACGUCCUACGGGAGAAAGCAGGGGAUCUUCGGACCUUGCGCUAAUAGAUGAGCCUAAGUCGGAUUAGCUAGUUGGUGGGGUAAAGGCCUACCAAGGCGACGAUCUGUAGCGGGUCUGAGAGGAUGAGCCGCCACACUGGGACUGGGACACGGCCCAGAAUCCUACGGGAGGCAGCAGUGGGGAAUAUUGGACAAUGGGGGAAACCCUGAUCCAGCCAUGCCGCGUGUGUGAAGAAGGCCUUAUGGUGGUAAAGCACUUUAAGCGAGGAGGAGGCUACUGAGACUAAUACUCUUGGAUAGUGGACGUUACUCGCAGAAUAAGCACCGGCUAACUCUGUGCCAGCCGCCGCCGUAA